RNAcentral lists this ribosomal RNA (549 nucleotides) under uncultured bacterium. RNAcentral's name for it is "bacterial SSU rRNA". It matches the Rfam family "Bacterial small subunit ribosomal RNA", at positions 355 to 896 of the family's 1533-position model. The record is from RNAcentral.
UGGGGAAUCUUCCGCAAUGGACGAAAGUCUGACGGAGCAACGCCGCGUGAGUGAUGACGGCCUUCGGGUUGUAAAGCUCUGUUAAUCGGGACGAAAGGCCUUCUUGCGAAUAGUUAGAAGGAUUGACGGUACCGGAAUAGAAAGCCACGGCUAACUACGUGCCAGCAGCCGCGGUAAUACGUAGGUGGCAAGCGUUGUCCGGAAUUAUUGGGCGUAAAGCGCGCGCAGGCGGAUUGGUCAGUCUGUCUUAAAAGUUCGGGGCUUAACCCCGUGAUGGGAUGGAAACUGCCAAUCUAGAGUAUCGGAGAGGAAAGUGGAAUUCCUAGUGUAGCGGUGAAAUGCGUAGAUAUUAGGAAGAACACCAGUGGCGAAGGCGACUUUCUGGACGAAAACUGACGCUGAGGCGCGAAAGCCAGGGGAGCGAACGGGAUUAGAUACCCCGGUAGUCCUGGCCGUAAACGAUGGUACUAGGUGUAGGAGGUAUCGACCCCUUCUGUGCCGGAGUUAACGCAAUAAGUACCCCGCCUGGGGAGUACGACCGCAAGGUUG